UCACUUUCCCCCCCUGACAUUUAAAAACCUACACUUUGCCCCCUUGUAAAAUGAAAAAUGUUCACAGGGGGGUUACGGUGUGUAAAAUGACCAUUUUGCCCCUCGCCAUUGUUGUCUUCUUCCUGAGCUUCCUCAGCCGCCCCUUCGAUCCGCCGGUUUUCCACCUCAAUCGGCCACGAUUCCUCUCAAAUUUCUUCUCCACCUGCUCCCCUUCUCCUCCUACACCGUCGCCGCCCAUCGAUUUCGGCGAUGGGUGUUGAUGGAGAGGUAGACAGGGACAACGAGAGCGAAGACGAGGCUGCGGAGGAGGACGAAGGGGACGUGGGCGAGGGCGAAGCAGUGGAGGACGGCGAGGCGGCGAGGCGGCGAGGCGGCGAAGCGGCGAGGCGGCGAGGCGGCGAAGCGGCGAGCCGGAGGGAGCGAAGCAUCCGAGAAAAGGCAGAGGGGUAUUUUCGGUAUAAAAAAAUAUUUUUUAACAGAACCCCUAACGGAACCCUAACGGAAGGGGUGAAGUGCACAUUUUUCAUUUUACAAGGGGGCAAAGUGUAGGUUUUUAAAUGUCAGGGGGGGAAAGUGAAAAAGCGGGUUAUUACAAGGGGGUUUUCUGUAAUUUAGCCAUUUAUUUUAAUUAAGGCAUUGA
RNAcentral lists this long non-coding RNA (640 nucleotides) under Ananas comosus (pineapple). RNAcentral's name for it is "long non-coding RNA (ACOM_LNC000883)". Lineage: Eukaryota; Viridiplantae; Streptophyta; Magnoliopsida; Poales; Bromeliaceae. The record is from RNAcentral.